GAUGAACGCUGGCGGCGUGCCUAAUACAUGCAAGUCGAGCGAACAGAUGAGGAGCUUGCUCCUCUGACGUUAGCGGCGGACGGGUGAGUAACACGUUGAUAACCUACCUAUAAGACUGGGAUAACUUCGGGAAACCGGAGCUCAUACCGGAUAAUAUAUUGAACCUCAUGGUUCAAUAGUGAAAGACGGUUUUGCUGUCACUUAUCGAUGGAUCCGCGCCGCAUUAGCUAGUUGGUAAGGUAACGGUUUACCAAGGCAACGAUGCGUAGCCGACCUGAGAGGGUGAUCGGCCACACUGGAACGGAGACACGGUCCAGACUCCUACGGGAGGCAGCAGUAGGGAAUCUUCCGCAAUGGGCGAAAGCCUGACGGAGAAACGCCGCGUGAGUGAUGAAGGUCUUCGGAUCGUAAAACUCUGUUAUUAGGGAAGAACAAAUGUGUAAGUAACUAUGCACGUCUUGACGGUACCUAAUCAGAAAGCCACGGCUAACUACGUG
This 497-nucleotide ribosomal RNA is filed under the name uncultured bacterium. RNAcentral describes it as "partial 16S ribosomal RNA". It matches the Rfam family "Bacterial small subunit ribosomal RNA", at positions 28 to 507 of the family's 1533-position model. The record is from RNAcentral.